This 270-nucleotide ribosomal RNA is filed under the name uncultured bacterium. Its description in RNAcentral is "partial 16S ribosomal RNA". It matches the Rfam family "Bacterial small subunit ribosomal RNA", at positions 28 to 313 of the family's 1533-position model. The record is from RNAcentral.
GACGAACGCUGGCGGCGUGCUUAACACAUGCAAGUCAAGGACCGUAGCAAUACGGGACUGGCGCACGGGUGCGGAACACGUAGGCAAUCUGCCCUUCAAGGGAGAACAACCAGCCGAAAGGUUGGCUAAAUCUCCGUAAAAUCAUAGAGUGGCAUCACUUAUUGAUCAAGUUUUUUGAAGGAUGAGCCUGCGUCUGAUUAGCUAGUUGGCGGGGUAACGGCCCACCAAGGCUACGAUCAGUAGCUGGUCUGAGAGGAUGAUCAGCCACAU